This is a long non-coding RNA of Myotis lucifugus (little brown bat), 467 nucleotides long. RefSeq lists it as uncharacterized. The record is from RefSeq and is a predicted model, not a curated record. NCBI's taxonomy places the organism in Eukaryota, Metazoa, Chordata, Mammalia, Chiroptera, Vespertilionidae. The transcript is spliced from 4 exons.
CAAAGGAGAACGAGGAUUUCCAGGGCCUCCAGGAAGAUGUCUUUGUGGAACCCCCGUGAAUGUGAAUAACCCUUCUUAUGGGGAAUCCGUGUAUGGGCCCAGCUCCCCGAGAGUCCCUGCGAUUUUCGUGGUCAACAACCAGGAGGAGCUUGAGAGGCUGAACACCAAACAUGCCAUCGCCUUCCGCAAAGACCAGAGAUCCCUGUACUUCAAGGACAGCCUUGGCUGGCUCCCCAUCCAGCUGACCCCCUUCUAUCCUGUGGACUACUCUGUAGACCACCGCGGCUCCUGUGGGGACGGGGUCCUGCAGCCCGGGGAGGAGUGUGACGACGGGAACGACGAUGUGGGUGACGACUGCAUCAGCUGUCACCGGGCAUACUGUGGAGAUGGCCACCGGCACAAGGGCGUGGAAGACUGUGACGGCUCUGACUUUGGCCACCUGACGUGUGAGACCUAUCUCCCUGGGU